Unclassified non-coding RNA from Cavia aperea (Brazilian guinea pig), 339 nucleotides. Its record names the gene 7SK. It matches the Rfam family "7SK RNA". Rfam says of the family: 7SK was discovered as an abundant small nuclear RNA in the mid-70s but a possible function has only recently been suggested. Two independent studies have found that 7SK RNA binds the CDK9/cyclin T complex (known as elongation factor P-TEFb). NCBI's taxonomy places the organism in Eukaryota, Metazoa, Chordata, Mammalia, Rodentia, Caviidae. The record is from Ensembl.
AGAUGUCAGGGCGAUCUGGCUGCGACAUCUGUCACCCCAUUGAUCGCCAAGGUUGAUUCUGCUGAUCUGGCUGGCUAGGCGGGUGUUCCCUUUCCUCCCGCAACGAUCCAUGUGCUUCCCUCCCGAAGCUGCGCGCUCUCGGUGGAAAGGACGACCACCCCCAAUAGAGGAGGACCGUUCCUCGAUCAAGGGUAUACAAGUAGCUGCGCUCCCCUGCUAGAACCUCCAAACAAGUUCUCAGAAGAGAUUUUGACUUGUACUUUUGAAAAAAUACUAUAAUUAUUAGAGAUUAGUAAAACAAGCUUCUAGGUGGGCCUGUGAGUCAUAGAACCAUAACCU